GCAGAAGUAGCAGCAUGCCCAGAGCUCACCGGGGGAGAAGACUUCCCAGCCCUGCACCCGCAGGUCAGGGCAGGCUGCCCUGGUCCUGGGUGGAAGGAGAUGCCUGAAGACCCCCAGGAAUGCUACGGAGGGGCUGAAGGCCUCUGAGGGUCUGAUGCAGAGGAGAACGGGACACAGCAGGGGACACUGACCUCUGUAUGCUUGUGCCAUGGUACCAAGAUGAACUAUUCCUGCUGAAGUUACAGUUAAAGAGGAAACAAAAGGAACACAAGGCCACUGCCGAAUUUAUCAGGAAGAGCUGUAUAAAGAUCAGAGUUUGUUAGCUUGUCGUCUUUGGCCUGACCCAAAUGAUGUGGCAGGUCUUUCCCAACCUACAUGGCACUAUGGUUCUAUGUUUCUA
Molecule: non-coding RNA, 400 nt
Organism: Anas platyrhynchos (mallard)
Lineage: Eukaryota; Metazoa; Chordata; Aves; Anseriformes; Anatidae
Source: RefSeq, a predicted model, not a curated record